This 496-nucleotide ribosomal RNA is filed under the name uncultured bacterium. Its description in RNAcentral is "SSU rRNA". It matches the Rfam family "Bacterial small subunit ribosomal RNA", at positions 26 to 523 of the family's 1533-position model. The record is from RNAcentral.
AGGAUGAACGCUAGCGGCAGGCUUAACACAUGCAAGUCGAGGGGUAUGGUAGCAAUACCAGAGACCGGCAAACGGGUGCGGAACACGUACACAAUCUACCUUUAUCUGGGGCAUAGCCCGGAGAAAUCCGGAUUAACUCCCCAUAAUAUAGUUGAGUGGCAUCAUUUGAUUAUUAAAAAUUCAUUGGAUAGAGAUGAGUGUGCGUCCCAUUAGCUAGUUGGUAGGGUAACGGCCUACCAAGGCGACGAUGGGUAGCUGGUGUGAGAGCACGACCAGCCACACGGGCACUGAGACACGGGCCCGACUCCUACGGGAGGCAGCAGUGAGGAAUAUUGGUCAAUGGACGCAAGUCUGAACCAGCCAUGCCGCGUGAAGGAUGAAGGCCUUCUGGGUUGUAAACUUCUUUUACCUGGGAAGAAACCUUCUUUUUUUCUAAGAGAGUUGACGGUACCAGAGGAAUAAGCACCGGCUAACUCCGUGCCAGCAGCCGCGGUAA